AUGGAAUGGCCGGUUCCUAAGGAGAGCAAAAUCUGGUUGCGUGGGGUGUCCACACUCCCUUCGCGACCAUAUCCACAUAAGGGCCUCAUUGUCAAACUAGCCGGUCUGAGGGCCUUGGUGGUUGAUGGAGAAGACAUAAAAGUGCCACGCCAGCCAAGCAGCAUCAUUGGAUGUCUUUGCAGGCAUUAUUACCCUGGCUUGGUCCCCAUAGGAGACGGUGAGGAGGAGCCAGCUUGGUAUUGGGAGCAUUGGAAACGAGCUCCGGAUACCAAAGACAAGUGGGGCAGGGUGUAUGGUAGUGCCGCUGAGCGGGUGGUCAAUGAUUUUUGGGACUUCUUUACUUGCGCCGAGGGUAUGAAGGAUGAAGCUAAUGAGGUUGUGGAGGCGAUUGCCAAGAAGAUUGUCCAAGACAUGCCCUAUGAGGCGCGCGUUGAUGCUGUGGUGAAGUAUUUCACACACGAACGCAAAAUGCUUCUCAAAAAGUCUCUAGCCCGGAGAGUGCAUCUCACCCGUUCCAUGUACAUGAAGGCGGUUCCCUCGUGGUGCAACAACAAUGUUCCUUGCUACCAGCAAAUCAUAUCCAAAUGGAUAGACCCGGAGUGGAGGGUCCAACAUCAAAUGGCUUCGGAGCGGCGUGCCUUGAUGAGUGGUCCGGUACACCUUCAAGGCAACCUCAACCUCCACGCUUACGUGCAGAAGAAGAAUAGGGAGAGAGGUGAGGGCCAAGAGAAGCUCAAUACCUUCACGGGAUUAUGUCUCUCCCGCAAGUCAAAGAAACCGGAAGGGGGGUGGGUCAACCCAGACGCUGGCUUGAGGAUUGAUGCAUACAGUGGGAAGUUCAAGGAGCACAACGGGCCUGACUCUUAUCCGGCCUCACAGGACGUUGACGCUACAAUUUCCCUCCGGUCGGGAGAGGGCAAGAAGGGUGGCCGGUUAUAUGUUGGUGACGGUGCCAUCCAUAAGAAGGACAUCCCAAAACUCUCUCACCUUCGUGCUACCACGUCGAGCUCAGGUCCUGCUAUAGAGCGUCGCCCACAGCCUGGGCUGCACAUGCUCCAUCAACUCGAGGUAUCUUUUGCUUCAUCGACCUUCCUUGUGAUUUCUUCUUUGUAUUGCAACGAUGGUGAACUUGUUGUGAUGGCAUAUUGUAGGCCAAUGCCAUGCUUCGAGAGGAGGAAGCCAUGA
RNAcentral lists this ribosomal RNA (1185 nucleotides) under Triticum aestivum (bread wheat). RNAcentral describes it as "partial small subunit ribosomal RNA". Lineage: Eukaryota; Viridiplantae; Streptophyta; Magnoliopsida; Poales; Poaceae. The record is from RNAcentral.